ACAUUCAUCACCACGACCAUCAUCGUUAUCUUCACCAGCCAAAUGUAGUUAUCUUCAUCGCUGCCAUCAGGUUUUCUUUAUCAUCAUCAUCACAACUUUUACAGGCUCACUGUCAUAAUCAUCAUCAUCAUAACCACAAAUGGUUGUCUGACUAUAGCAGUUGUCAUUGUCGUUACAAUAAAACACCACGCUCUAUUUUCAUCAUAGUCUUCAUCAGCAGCAGCAUCAACUUAUCUUCAUCAUCAUUACUGUUACUAGAGAUGACCGACAUUACUACAAUGACCAUUAGAGCCAGCGGCAAAAUCUUCCAGAUAAAAAACAGACAAACCCCCCAAACAAGUUAUCAACCAGCCCGAGCGGGUCUGGUUCCUGCUGCCUUGCAUCUUAUUUCUUAAUUCUCCUGGACGCGCUCGCUGUCGUGAGCGCGCCAUCACGUGGGAGGUCCCUUUAAGUUUCCAUCGACUGAGGCCUGAGCGUGUCACAUGGACAUGAUAUAAUGAAAAGGCAGGAACAGAGUGAGUGCGCUGGGCUCUUUGCUAAAGCAGAAGGGAGCAGAAAUGUACGCAGUCAUCUGCCGACAGUGUAGAGGGCCAGGGGGCCGAGCCCAACCGAACGCUGCCGAUCUCGACCGGGCUGGGCCGAGCCGGACAGACUGCGCCUCAUCGGACGGGACCUCUGUGUUCGCCGUUGCACCUGCCAGCUGUGACGCGCACUUUAAAAGAGGAGGAAAAUGUCGCCUGUGCGCGUAUUUCGCACAGUCCCGGAGCAAAGGAGGAGCGCCCUUCGGUGUGAGUGAACUUAUUUCUAAUAGCUCGGCUGGUGUGGGGAUCGGCUCCGGGUUGCUGCCGCAGGCUCUGCUGGAGGCAAAUGCAUGCUGCAGACGCCUUUUGGGCUUCAAAUCAGCAAACGGCACUGGAAUGACGCACCCCUGGCUAAAAGAAGCUGAAGAAGACCAGAGCAGAGAGGCUGUGAUGUAACUACAGCAUUGGACUCAGCGCAGAUGGGAGCAGACGGACGGACGGAACGAGGAUGACAUCACUGUUACCCGUGGGAGCCUGGGCCUGUCAUUCUUGGUGUCACUUCCUGGGAGAGAAUAGAACAGGAAGCCAGCGCGAGAGCCGACAACGAGCGCUCCCCUCACCUCCACAAGGAAGCCUUUUUCCCCCGAGAGCAAAAUGUGUGUCUGCUUGUGUCCCUCGCUCACUCCUGCAUUCAUCGCGCAGAGGGCUGGUGCUGGUUCAGAAUUUGUGUAAGCCCUGAUUGUUUUCAUUUCCUUUGAGCUCAGUUCUGAGCCUUUUGCAACAAAUCCUUUGAAGAGCUUGUUAUUUUACACGUCAACGGUAGUUAAAAUAAGUCAGAGUGGUGACUUUAUGGGUACGGAUGCAGUAAGCUGUGCCUCUGCAGGCUUUAUUUUGCUGCCCUGGGUCAGCAGUGUUUGGAGGAGGGUGGAUUUACAAACGUGGAGGCCACUGUGACGUCACCUGAUGGUGUUGGACUCUGGGUCGGGGUGAGGCUCGGUCCCUUGGCCGGUGCCACACUCUGCUUCUAUGCUGGAGCUUUCCCAUAUUGGACAAAAGGGUCGAGUGAAAAUUGGUUAGCUGCAUGUGUAGCUUGCAGGGCUCUAUCCAUAAUUUCUGAUCAGUCCUUUUCCUGAAUGGUGUAAGCCUCAGAUAUUUGUCAGGUAACUCUGUUUAACUCCAAAAGGCUCCAAAAGGAAAAGUCCAGUUUGACUCUGCACAGAGCCCUCAGUUAAACCCUCAACAUCCACUCAUGUUACCAGAUCAACAGUUAUUCAUAUGGCUAUUUGUUGAUAUUGUGUUACUGUUGUAAAAUGCAGGGACGUGGCUGCAGCUCAGAAACUGCAGCGAGUCAUCAGGAAGAUCGAAGAGCUUCUCUUCCUGUUGAAGUGUUCUCUUAAGAUGAUGGCUGAAAUAAGUUAGUAAGCUUUGUUGAAAUGCCAGCUCAUCGUGAGCUUUGGUUUGCUUUUUUAAUCAUGAGGCUUUGUGAUGAUUCAUGUCUGUGUUAAGGUGCUAACGUGGCUGAUUCAGAGCUGCUAAUGAGUAGACGUGUUGUUCUACUUGUCUUCAUGCUCUAAAACGCUGCAUCCAACUGAGCGACUCAAAUGCAGCCUGCUUAAUGCGUACACAGCAUCUUUGUACUAUUCAUCACUGUGCAGGCAUACAAAGCAGGCACACGUCCUGCUACCUGAAUAGUUUUUACACAAAUCCUGAACUCACCCAUAUGGAAAAGAUAUAUAUAAAUCUUAUAAAGUUUGUAUCUG
Maylandia zebra (zebra mbuna) is the source of this 2281-nucleotide non-coding RNA. NCBI's taxonomy places the organism in Eukaryota, Metazoa, Chordata, Actinopteri, Cichliformes, Cichlidae. The record is from RefSeq and is a predicted model, not a curated record.